This 369-nucleotide long non-coding RNA is filed under the name Lepisosteus oculatus (spotted gar). RNAcentral's name for it is "lncRNA (ENSLOCG00000021259.1)". Lineage: Eukaryota; Metazoa; Chordata; Actinopteri; Semionotiformes; Lepisosteidae. The record is from RNAcentral.
UGGAAAUCGACCUGGUUUUCUUCUUAGGGUCCUCACUACUCACUCGUAACAUACAGAGUCUCCAAUAAGAGUCUGUACUCCAGGUGUGUGUGUAUAUAUACAGAGUCUCCAAUAAGAGUCUGUACUCCAGGUGUGUGUAUAUAUAUACAGAGUCUCCAAUAAGAGUCUGUACUCCAGGUGUGUGUGUAUAUAUAUACAGAGUCUCCAAUAAGAGUCUGUACUCCAGGUGUGUGUGUGUAUACAGAGUCUCCAAUAAGAGUCUGUACUCCAGGUGUGUGUGUGUGUGUAUACAGAGUCUCCAAUAAGAGUGAUUCUGAACUCCAGGUGGGGCUGCACAUUGGUGGUGGUGGAGGGGAGUCCCCAUUACCU